GCUUACGGCCAUACCACCCUGAACACGCCCGAUCUCGUCCUCUCGGAAGCUAAGCAGGGUCGGGCCUGGUUAGUACUUGGAUGGGAGACCGCCUGGGAAUACCAGGUGCUGUAAGCU
Molecule: ribosomal RNA, 117 nt
Filed under: Labrus bergylta (ballan wrasse)
Lineage: Eukaryota; Metazoa; Chordata; Actinopteri; Labriformes; Labridae
Source: RNAcentral